Molecule: long non-coding RNA, 481 nt
Filed under: Setaria viridis
Lineage: Eukaryota; Viridiplantae; Streptophyta; Magnoliopsida; Poales; Poaceae
Description: long non-coding RNA (SVIR_LNC007711)
Source: RNAcentral
UACUUUCAAUAUUUUAGCUCAGAUUCUAAGUUUAUUAACCAGUCUACUUUAGCAACUUAUGCUAAGCAAACAUAGUUUCCAAGCAAUUUAAAGAACUAGCAUUAAGAUUAAUAUCGUCAUCCUAUUCCAUCUUUACUCAGUGUAGCAUAGCGAUCAAGCAGUCCCAAACUGUGAGAGGUAGACGAAUGUAACACCCCGUCCUCCAAAGCCGCACCGCCCAGCCCUUCCGAGGGGCGGGCACGCGUACACAUAGCACCCUGCUUACACUUUCGUCCUCGCUUCAUGUAAAAGGGUUAACCCGAAGGUGCUAUGGCUGGUUGACGAAGGCUUAUAAGUUGCCUCCACCCUUGCUAAACUAGCAAUGUGGUACUAAACAUGCGCACCUGCGCUAAUGGGCCACACUGGGCCAACCAAAUUGGGCCGGGUGUCACAUUCACCCCCCCUCAAAGAACCCGACGUCCUCGUCGGUCCAACUCACCCA